Molecule: small nucleolar RNA, 84 nt
Organism: Cynocephalus volans (Philippine flying lemur)
Lineage: Eukaryota; Metazoa; Chordata; Mammalia; Dermoptera; Cynocephalidae
Product: small nucleolar RNA MBII-202
Exons: 1
Source: RefSeq, a predicted model, not a curated record
UGAUGGAAUUUUCUGGAAUGGUUGUACUGCUUUGGUGAAAGUAUACUUGAACCCAUUUCCGUCUGACAACUGAGAAAAAAAAAU